This 119-nucleotide ribosomal RNA is filed under the name Vigna angularis (adzuki bean). Lineage: Eukaryota; Viridiplantae; Streptophyta; Magnoliopsida; Fabales; Fabaceae. RNAcentral also lists the same sequence under 1 other name. The record is from RNAcentral.
AGGUGCGAUCAUACCAGGACUAAUGCACCGGAUCCCAUCAGAACUCCGCAGUGAAGCGUGCUUGGGCAAGAGUAGUACUAGGAUGGGUCACCUCCUGGGAAGUCCUCGUGUUGCACCUC